GUGUUUGCUUUGGCAACAUACAUGCUAAAAUUGGAACAACACAAAGAAGAUUAGCAUGGUCCUUGAAUAAGAAUGAUGUACAGAUUAAUGAAGAAUUUUAUAUUUUC
Molecule: small nuclear RNA, 107 nt
Organism: Arvicanthis niloticus (Nile rat)
Lineage: Eukaryota; Metazoa; Chordata; Mammalia; Rodentia; Muridae
Source: RefSeq, a predicted model, not a curated record